Molecule: ribosomal RNA, 253 nt
Filed under: uncultured bacterium
Lineage: Bacteria
Description: partial 16S ribosomal RNA
Rfam family: Bacterial small subunit ribosomal RNA
Source: RNAcentral
UACAGAGGCCACAAGCGUUAGACGGAAUCACUGGGCUUAAAGCGUGUGUAGGCGGGAUGGUAAGUACCUUGUGAAAUCCCACAGCUUAACUGUGGAAAUGCUUGGUAUACUGCCGUUCUUGAGUUACCUAGGGGCAACCGGAACAAACGGUGGAGCGGUGAAAUGCGUAGAUAUCGUUUGGAACGCCAAUGGUGAAAACAGGUUGCUGGGGAUAUGCUGACGCUGAGACACGAAAGCCAGGGGAGCAAACGGG